AAAUACUAAAUAUAAAUAUACUAAAAUUGGAAUGUAACAGAGAUUAGCAUGGCCCCUAGGCAAGGAUGACAUGCAAAUUAGGCAUACGUCCCAUAUUAAA
RNAcentral lists this small nuclear RNA (100 nucleotides) under Suricata suricatta (meerkat). The record is from RNAcentral. Lineage: Eukaryota; Metazoa; Chordata; Mammalia; Carnivora; Herpestidae.